UAGUGGUUCUGGCAACCAUAAUCUGCGAGAGAGACGACUUAGUAGGGGAAGUAAACACCGAUACGGUACCGAGAUUCUGCUUCAAGGAAAGAGACCAUGGAUCUGGCGUCGAGAUCAUCGAUCUGACAUCGAACCCUGAGGAGCAGCCGCUUCUGCUGGGAAGAUACAGUCUGGCACUGUCAACUCCGCUGGGGAUAUAUAUUCUGGCACUGUCAACUCUACUGGGGAGUGUAUA
Molecule: long non-coding RNA, 235 nt
Filed under: Lathyrus oleraceus (garden pea)
Lineage: Eukaryota; Viridiplantae; Streptophyta; Magnoliopsida; Fabales; Fabaceae
Description: Pisum sativum (pea) long non-coding RNA (PSAT_LNC030038)
Source: RNAcentral